RNAcentral lists this long non-coding RNA (206 nucleotides) under Rattus norvegicus (Norway rat). RNAcentral's name for it is "long non-coding RNA NONRATT033486". Lineage: Eukaryota; Metazoa; Chordata; Mammalia; Rodentia; Muridae. The record is from RNAcentral.
AUGGACAUGAAGACAAGAGGACUACAAGCACAAUCUGGAGACAGCCCAGCCUGGGAUCAUCUGAUAUCUGGGGAAACUGAGGUGUGGCUGGAGCCCUCAGAGGCUCAGAGAUCCAUUCUAUGACUCCUGAGGGUGCCCCGUUCUCUUUACUGAUAGCCAGAAAUAACUGUCAUGGACAGCCAGAGUCUUUAAAAAAUAUGUUCUUG